UGACUGGUCAUGUUCUCAAUGUCACGUGCUGUCCGGGGCGGGUGGCAGAGCCAGUUUUUCUGCUCCCAAAGUGAGACUUGGGGAGGAGACCGCAAUGCUCAAAUAGCCACCACGCUGCCUGCUGCCAGCUAGAUGCCAAGGAGCCCACUCACCUUUCCUGCUUCAGGGUUUGGACGGGAAGAUAAGGAGAGAGAGGAGAAGGAAGAGGAAAAAAAACAAGAGGCAGAGGAGGAAAAGGACGAGGGAGUUGGGGAUGGUGACAACAGGAGCAGCAGCAGCACUGAGGAGCCCCAGGACCAGGGCCGUGCUGAGGACGAUGAGAAGGAAGCCCAGGAGUAGACUUGCUGGACGUGCCGAGGAGGUGGGGAUGCUGGAGGGGGCUAGCCACUGGUAGCCAAAUAAAAGCAUUUGGACCCCAAAGAGAGAUGCUAUU
This 433-nucleotide long non-coding RNA is filed under the name Chrysolophus pictus (golden pheasant). Its description in RNAcentral is "lncRNA (ENSCPIG00010012176.1)". The record is from RNAcentral. Lineage: Eukaryota; Metazoa; Chordata; Aves; Galliformes; Phasianidae.